RNAcentral lists this non-coding RNA (28 nucleotides) under Rattus norvegicus (Norway rat). The record is from RNAcentral. Lineage: Eukaryota; Metazoa; Chordata; Mammalia; Rodentia; Muridae.
UCCCUCAGAUCUGGAUAGUUAGCCUCCA